AGCGAACGCUGGCGGCAGGCCUAACACAUGCAAGUCGAACGGUGAAGCGCCUUCCUUUUUGGUGGGUGUGGAUGAGUGGCGAACGGGUGAGUAACACGUGAGUAACCUGCCCCCUUCUUCUGGAUAACCGCAUGAAAGUGUGGCUAAUACGGGAUAUUCUGGGUCUGUCGCAUGAUGGGUCUGGGAAAGAUAUUGUUUCGGUGGGGGAUGGGCUCGCGGCCUAUCAGCUUGUUGGUGGGGUGAUGGCCUACCAAGGCGGUGACGGGUAGCCGGCCUGAGAGGGUGGACGGUCACACUGGGACGGAGACACGGCCCAGACUCAUACGGGAGGCAGCAGUGGGGAAUAUUGCACAAUGGGCGCAAGCCUGAUGCAGCGACGCCGCGUGAGGGAUGGAGGCCUUCGGGUUGUGAACCUCUUUCGCCAGUGAAGCAGGCCUGCCUCGUUUGUGGGUGGGUUGACGGUAGCUGGAUAAGAAGCGCCGGCUAACUACGUG
RNAcentral lists this ribosomal RNA (494 nucleotides) under uncultured bacterium. Its description in RNAcentral is "partial 16S ribosomal RNA". It matches the Rfam family "Bacterial small subunit ribosomal RNA", at positions 28 to 507 of the family's 1533-position model. The record is from RNAcentral.